AGGGAAUGAAGAGGACCUGUAGGCAGAAGAGGCUCACGGGAAGUAUAACAGAGAUCUAACUCCUUGUGACAAAAUCUUGUGGGACAUAAUCACUAUGUAAGGGGAAUGGGGAAACAGCCAGAGUGAAGGCCAGAAGUGCCCACAACCACGGUGCAGGCCUGAGGUGGCUGCCUAUCUGAAGCCCCAGGGCUCCCCACCAAGGGGGAGGUGCCUUCUGAAUAGCCUGGACUGCUUCCAAAGAGGCCCAGCAAAUUCCAGAAAGUAUGGAAAGCCUUGUGGAGAAAGAGCUUCCCAUUUCUCAUGUUUCCCUAUUGCCUUUGUUCACGCUUUGAAAGCAAAUUCAGCUUCCCAUUUUUCCCUAUGCAUAUUUUAAAUUGUUCCAUCUUGUUUGUCUUUUAUGGUAAUCCUUUCUUCAUGGUUUAAUACAACAUUGGAAGACAUCGUGACACUACAGCAAAAUAGUGUGACAGGGGGCUAGGUCGGCAGCCCUUUAAUGAAAGGAGAAAUGAGACAUAUAGUCCCCCAAAGGACAAUUAGGAAGGAGCAGCAAACCUGUCUUUAAAAAUGCUUCCAGACGUGAGCUUGGCUAUUUUUUCCCCCCACUGCCAUGAUCGGCAAAGGGCUAGCAGUUGCCAGAGGCGGCAGGAAAGAGCGCAGGGAGGCUGGAAGGCCCAGAUCCAGUGCAAGGGAUCUGUCUUACCUACUGGACCUCAAGGGAUCUUCAGGCAUUCAUGGGAGCACCUCAGAAGGCUCAACUUGCCUCAGAUUUCUGAUGGCAAGAAGGUCAAGUUCUGGUCAUUCAGGAGCCAAACAGAGCCCUGACUCCAACCAAAAUUCACCACAAAGAUGAGGACAGUGCCAUAGAAGGAACCUGAGUUGAGCAACUCCAUGAGCAGGGAACCCACCCAGCUGCCCUGGACCUCAAGGAGAGGGAAACAAGGUUAUUGUUUUGAAGAUUUUAUUUAUGUAUGUAUUUAUGAGAGAGAGAGAGAGGAGAGUGGGAGGAGGAGCAGAGGGAGAGGAGAAGAGAAUCUCAAGGAGACUCUGAGCCCAGCAUGGAGCCUGAUGGGGGGCUGGUUCCAGAGACCCUGAGAUCAUGACAUGAGCCAAAAUCAAGUCAGAUGCUCAACGGACUGAGCCAUCCAGGUGCCCCAAGAAGUUUGCUCUCUGACGUUAAGCCCACCCAUGCUCCCAGCUCUCGUGGAUACUGUGUUCUUGUCAGCUGAACCCUGAAAUCUUAGGAUGUGGACUGAAC
RNAcentral lists this long non-coding RNA (1255 nucleotides) under Vulpes vulpes (red fox). RNAcentral's name for it is "lncRNA (ENSVVUG00000012503.1)". The record is from RNAcentral. Lineage: Eukaryota; Metazoa; Chordata; Mammalia; Carnivora; Canidae.